Long non-coding RNA from Microtus ochrogaster (prairie vole), 570 nucleotides. RefSeq lists it as uncharacterized. The transcript is spliced from 3 exons. Lineage: Eukaryota; Metazoa; Chordata; Mammalia; Rodentia; Cricetidae. The record is from RefSeq and is a predicted model, not a curated record.
AGUGACGACAUCGAGCACGCCAUUAAAAAGCAGUAGCCCGACUUCCCCGCUCUCUCGGCCUUAGCGCCAUCUUCCUUGGUGAGUCUCGUUGUAGCCGGUCUUCGGGCUUCGAGUACAAUCCAUUAGCAUCUGGCUUCAGCACUUGCCAUCAUUGCAGCAAAUUAACCGUAACUUUUUUCUCUUUUGCCGUAGACACCCCUGCGCCAUGAGAGCGAAGUGGAGGAAGAAGAGAAUGCGCAGACUGAAGCGCAAGAGAAGAAAGAUGAGGCAGAGGUCCAAGUAAACUCGCCCGCCCACCCGCGAAGGCCGCAGGAGCAGCAGUAAGGGACGCUGGAGGCCGGGACGCAGGGACAAGCUGGACUGAGCUGCAGCCGGAGGAAGUCUCGGGACCCGCGACCUCGCCACCCGCUCGCGGAGACCACCGAGAGACCGACGCCCUGCCGUCAUGACAACAGCCCCGCUGGCCCUUUGCCCUGGACCUGUGGCGUUCUGGACUAGUUCUGUCCUCACUUGUGGCCAAUUGUAACCCGUGUACAAUAAACCAUCUUUGUCGCUGUCAGCUGAAGAAUG